GAGGGUAUAGCUCAGCGGUAGAGCACAUGCUUAGCAUGCACGAGGUCCUGGGUUCAAUCCCCAGUACCUCCA
Molecule: transfer RNA, 72 nt
Filed under: Vicugna pacos (alpaca)
Lineage: Eukaryota; Metazoa; Chordata; Mammalia; Artiodactyla; Camelidae
Description: tRNA-Ala (AGC) (tRNA-Ala-AGC-779-1)
Rfam family: tRNA
About the family: Transfer RNA (tRNA) molecules are approximately 80 nucleotides in length. Their secondary structure includes four short double-helical elements and three loops (D, anti-codon, and T loops).
Source: Rfam by way of RNAcentral